Molecule: ribosomal RNA, 253 nt
Filed under: uncultured bacterium
Lineage: Bacteria
Description: partial 16S ribosomal RNA
Rfam family: Bacterial small subunit ribosomal RNA
Source: RNAcentral
UACGUAGGUGGCAAGCGUUGUCCGGAAUUAUUGGGCGUAAAGCGCGUGUAGGCGGCUCAGUCAGUCUGGUGUGAAACCUUGGGGCUCAACCCCAAGCCUGCACUGGAUACUGCUGAGCUUGAGUCCGGGAGGGGAGAGCGGAAUUCCUAGUGUAGCGGUGAAAUGCGCAGAUAUUAGGAAGAACACCGGUGGCGAAGGCGGCUCUCUGGAACGGUACUGACGCUGAGACGCGAAAGCGUGGGGAGCGAACAGG